GACGAACGCUGGCGGCGUGCCUAAUACAUGCAAGUAGAACGCUGAAGGAGGAGCUUGCUCUUCUGGAUGAGUUGCGAACGGGUGAGUAACGCGUAGGUAACCUGCCUGGUAGCGGGGGAUAACUAUUGGAAACGAUAGCUAAUACCGCAUAACAGUAGAUGUUGCAUGACAUUUGCUUAAAAGGUGCAAUUGCCUCACUACCAGAUGGACCUGCGUUGUAUUAGCUAGUUGGUGGGGUAACGGCUCACCAAGGCGACGAUACAUAGCCGACCUGAGAGGGUGGACGGCCACACUGGGAAUGGGACACGGCCCAGAAUCCUACGGGAGGCAGCAGUAGGGAAUCUUCGGCAAUGGACGGAAGUCUGACCGAGCCACGCCGGGUGAGUGAAGGAGGGUUUCGGAUCGUAAAGCUCUGUUGUAAGAGAAGAAAGAGUGUGAGAGUAGAAAGUUCACACUGUGACGGUAUCUUACCAGAAAGGGACGGCUAACUACGUG
RNAcentral lists this ribosomal RNA (495 nucleotides) under uncultured bacterium. RNAcentral's name for it is "partial 16S ribosomal RNA". It matches the Rfam family "Bacterial small subunit ribosomal RNA", at positions 28 to 507 of the family's 1533-position model. The record is from RNAcentral.